RNAcentral lists this ribosomal RNA (443 nucleotides) under uncultured Clostridium sp. RNAcentral describes it as "partial 16S ribosomal RNA". It matches the Rfam family "Bacterial small subunit ribosomal RNA", at positions 341 to 792 of the family's 1533-position model. The record is from RNAcentral. Lineage: Bacteria; Bacillati; Bacillota; Clostridia; Eubacteriales; Clostridiaceae.
AUGGGAGGCAGCAGUGGGGAAUAUUGGACAAUGGGGGCAACCCUGAUCCAGCGACGCCGCGUGAGUGAAGAAGUAUUUCGGUAUGUAAAGCUCUAUCAGCAGGGAAGAAAAAAUCAAAAUUGACUGUACCUGACUAAGAAGCCCCGGCUAACUACGUGCCAGCAGCCGCGGUAAUACGUAGGGGGCAAGCGUUAUCCGGAUUUACUGGGUGUAAAGGGAGCGUAGACGGCAAAGCAAGUCUGAAGUGAAAUCCCGGGGCUCAACCCUGGAACUGCUUUGGAAACUGUUUAGCUAGAGUGCAGGAGAGGUAAGUGGAAUUCCUAGUGUAGCGGUGAAAUGCGUAGAUAUUAGGAGGAACACCAGUGGCGAAGGCGGCUUACUGGACUGUAACUGACGUUGAGGCUCGAAAGCGUGGGGAGCAAACAGGAUUAGAUACCCUGGUA